Molecule: transfer RNA, 73 nt
Filed under: Trichobilharzia regenti
Lineage: Eukaryota; Metazoa; Platyhelminthes; Trematoda; Strigeidida; Schistosomatidae
Rfam family: tRNA
About the family: Transfer RNA (tRNA) molecules are approximately 80 nucleotides in length. Their secondary structure includes four short double-helical elements and three loops (D, anti-codon, and T loops).
Source: Rfam by way of RNAcentral
GAUCCCAUAGCUGAACGGUUACAGCAUUGGUCUAGCAAACCAGCCGUCUAGAGUUUAAUUCCCUUUAUGAGCA